This 30-nucleotide non-coding RNA is filed under the name Rattus norvegicus (Norway rat). The record is from RNAcentral. Lineage: Eukaryota; Metazoa; Chordata; Mammalia; Rodentia; Muridae.
UGGGCUGUAGCCUAGAAUGGACAACGCUUU